CACGUAGGGCGCAAGCGUUGUCCGGAAUUAUUGGGCGUAAAGAGCUCGUAGGCGGUCUGUUGCGUCCGCUGUGAAAACUCGGGGCUUAACCCCGAGCCUGCAGUGGAUACGGGCAGACUAGAGGUAGGUAGGGGAGAAUGGAAUUCCCGGUGUAGCGGUGAAAUGCGCAGAUAUCGGGAGGAACACCGGUGGCGAAAGCGACGGGCUGGACCCCUUCUGACGCUGAGGCGCGAAAGCCAGGGGAGCAAACGGG
Molecule: ribosomal RNA, 253 nt
Filed under: uncultured bacterium
Lineage: Bacteria
Description: partial 16S ribosomal RNA
Rfam family: Bacterial small subunit ribosomal RNA
Source: RNAcentral